UACCCUGGCAGAUUCGAACCGCAAUCCCGGUUUAGGAGACCGAUGCCUUAUCCGUUAGGCCAUGAGGGC
RNAcentral lists this transfer RNA (69 nucleotides) under Araneus ventricosus. RNAcentral describes it as "tRNA-Arg". Lineage: Eukaryota; Metazoa; Arthropoda; Arachnida; Araneae; Araneidae. The record is from RNAcentral.